AAAAUGACUCUCGGCAACGGAUAUCUCGGCUCUUGCAUCGAUGAAGAACGCAGCGAAAUGCGAUACUUGGUGUGAAUUGCAGAAUCCCGUGAACCAUCGAGUCUUUGAACGCAAGUUGCGCCCAAAGCCAUUAGGCYGAGGGCACGCCUGCCUGGGUGUCAC
Molecule: ribosomal RNA, 162 nt
Filed under: Phaseolus vulgaris (common bean)
Lineage: Eukaryota; Viridiplantae; Streptophyta; Magnoliopsida; Fabales; Fabaceae
Description: 5.8S ribosomal RNA
Rfam family: 5.8S ribosomal RNA
About the family: 5.8S ribosomal RNA (5.8S rRNA) is a component of the large subunit of the eukaryotic ribosome. It is transcribed by RNA polymerase I as part of the 45S precursor that also contains 18S and 28S rRNA. Functionally, it is thought that 5.8S rRNA may be involved in ribosome translocation.
Source: RNAcentral